Molecule: RNA transcript, 3090 nt
Organism: Lolium perenne
Lineage: Eukaryota; Viridiplantae; Streptophyta; Magnoliopsida; Poales; Poaceae
Source: RefSeq, a predicted model, not a curated record
GCCAAACUAGGAGACGCACAAAUCCGUCGUGCAGCACACAAUCUCACUUCCGUCACACUGUCUCCUUCCUCGCAUCUCUCACCAUGACCCGCCGCCAAUCACCUUGGAGGGCGACCUUGGAGGGCCUCGCGCGUCUGCAUCGAGAAGAUCCACCGGCAGCCUUCGUCAAGCUCGCCAGCGCCGCCACAGCGCUUCUGCGUUUCCGCCCACGAUCUGAUGGGUGGGUUGAUGGGCUCCUACGCGACGAUGACAGCCGUAAGGUCCGCGACGACGAACUUCUCCAUGCAAUGCCCCCUCUUCCCCGGCAAAAUACCCUCACCGCAGAUGUCCACAAGAUCUCCUGCUCUCCUUCAGCGCAUUUGGUUGGAGGAGUUGGAUCUUGGGAAUGGGAGUUCGGGAAUGUGGGACGUCUGUUGAUUUGUUCGUGGACAUGAGACUUGAGGAGGGAGGGGAAAGAUGAAUUCAGGGGUCAACUCCGUGAUAUCUCUGCCCUGUUGGAACUAGGUAAUUCGAUUGGGAAUUGGGAAUUGAGAAUUAGAAGGAAAUUGACUCAUGGCUUAACCGUCUACGACGCCUGGAGCUACGCCACCGCUGGACGAUCAAGAUGCGACCAGCUAUGGAGGCUGAGUCGACCUCAACAUGUAAUCAGUCCACGCAUAAGGUAGAACGAGAAGUCUCCACAACGUCCCAUCCUCCAGGGUCUCUCCCCAAACUGACUGGAGCCGCCGGCGCGAGAACUUCGUGGCUAGCAUCGGAAUACACGCAAUCGCCAAGCACAUGACGGACGCCAUAUUCUCCUUCAUCCGGAAUGACGUGGUCGUACAUGACUCCUUCGUGCAGUACAUCGACAUGCUCGUCUUAGAUUGUCGUUCAUGAGUUGUGGAUCUCCGUCAGGGACACGACCGCACAUAGCGCUGUGCGCGUCUAGACAUUCAAAUACAACGUAGUGGAGAGUAAGCACCAGAUGCUGGAAUAUAUGUCUUCUUCCUUUUAUAUUUAUGAGUUUACCUUCAGACAGAUUGUUCAAAGAUGUAGAAAUUUGGAGGUGUCUUUUUCUGUUUUGUGUUAGACAUCGGUAGAAAUUGGAAAUGGGUUCACUUUUUGUAAGCUAAAGUAGAAUACAAAUCAGAAUUGGAUUCACCUAUGUCUGUUGUUGCAGAAGAGCCGGAGAUGUGUUUGGCGUUAUGGAAUAGCAGAAAAUCAAUCAGAUGAUUGCUGAUGUGGACAAACACGGUAGUGGAUCAAUAGAUUAUGAGGAGUUUGAGCACAUGAUGACUGCUAAGAUUGGAGGGGGAUACAAAAGAUGAGCUAACAAAAGCAUUCGUUAUUACCGAGUAAGAUGAAAAUGUAAGAGUUUCAGUAUUUCUUCCUUCUAUGCAUCAUCUAAAAUAUUGAUGUGGCUGGCAUUUUUUUUAUAGAAUCAACAAUCAAAAUGUACCUUAGAAAAUUGAUUGACAUUUACUUUAUGUGUUCAAUUUAAUUGACAUUAAUUUUACUUCUAGCUGCUUAAUGUGAUUGGCAUUUGUUUUACUUCUAGACGUGUAAUGAUGUUGACCAAGUUCCUAAAUAUAAUUAAAUUUCAUUACUCUCUUCGAGUUACAGUGCAGAUCAUUCUAACAUCUUGACCUGUAACUGAUAUUACUACGUCCAUGAUCAAAUAUAAUACACAUGUAUACUUAAUUUCAGCUAAAGCAACACCUUUUGAAGAAACAGACUUUCAAAUUUUCCCUAGGAAAAUCUUGCAAGUCUUAAAUGAUACAUGUUACGUAUAUUUAUUGGUUUGGUGCUCAAUGACAAUAGUUAUGUUACAACUCUACCAUGUUUGAACACAUUGUCCUUUUGAAGAGUGUUAGCAUAACUCCAUGGGAAGAUAUCUGAUGCUGUUGUCAAAAAGUGAUAAUUUCACUCUCCAAGAGAUCCAAGAAAUGGUACAUGAGGCAGAUCAAAAUGGUUAGCCCUUUUCUCGCACUCUUUGCAUCUUUAAUGAGCCACCGCCAGGAAACAAAUUCUCCACCUAGCAGUAGGCAUAGAGCAGGGAGGCCACCGUCCAAUGUUCGGAGACAAUCAAGGUCGCCGCACGUAGGGGCGAUUUUAUCAGGAAGCAGCUGAUCUUUAUUCACUCUUUUGUCAUUUUCUCGUGCAACCUGCUGCGGCGCUGAACCAUGGCCAGAGAGGGAUACUCAUCUAUCGAAGUAAGGUCUAAGAAGACUACGAGAGCAUGACAGCUGUCAGGACCUAGGGGCAGCCCGAAUGACUUUUUGUUAAUUAACUUUUCAUACAUCUCUUCUAUGUGCUAUGUUCCAUGACUUUUUUCUUUCGAGGUAGUAGCACUAUUCAGAAAGUAUAGGACGCCUGAUUGAAAGAUAUACCUCAUGUUUUCAUACGGUAUCUGACAUAAGCAGUUUUAUCUUUCACAAUUCAGUUUUAGUUAUCUCUUACAGAGGAUUUCUGCCCUAAAAACUCUGGUGAUUAUUUUGUGGCUAUAUGUUGUUGGUGAGGGAGCUGUUCGUCGUGUGGGGCUACACACCGUGGUACUGGAGCUUGACUCUAGGUUUUGGCAAGCAGAAAGAAGAUAUUUAUAACCUUGGAGUUCAUCACUGGUGGUGAACUAUUUGAAAAAAUUGUUCACAUGGUCGGACAUCCAUCCAUGGGCAUUAUGGGGGUGACUCUGAACGUGAGGAGUGGCCUUGAGCUUGGCGAGCGCGUAGAUGUCGUGAUCUGGCAAGGAGUGCGGAAGAAAAGGAGAGGCAGGAGGAAGCCAAGAAGAGGAUUAGGAGGCUUUGUGGUUAACUUGUGUACUGCGCCGAGGCCAGGGCGGUGGCAAACGAUGGGUUGUGUGGUUGCUGUGGAGUAUCAAAAUCAUGACAAAACGUACUCUCCUCCAUCCAUAGAUGAGUACUGGGUAGUACUAAGAAUUAACAUGGUAGUACUAAGAAUUAAUCUCCUCUUAUUUAAAAUGAUUGUCUGCAUAGUAGGAGUUAGCUUUUGAGGUCAAUGUAUUUGCGAAUACUCCCUUGGUACCAUGCUAUUUUGUAAUUGAGUUUGGGCAUAUUUAGAGUACUGAUGUCAUGUGUUGUCCAAUUUUUUGCA